Populus trichocarpa (black cottonwood) is the source of this 1157-nucleotide RNA transcript. It is a transcript of the gene named probable NEDD8-conjugating enzyme Ubc12-like, with no coding region annotated. The record is from RefSeq and is a predicted model, not a curated record. The transcript has 3 exons. NCBI's taxonomy places the organism in Eukaryota, Viridiplantae, Streptophyta, Magnoliopsida, Malpighiales, Salicaceae.
AAGCAAUACGCAUACUCUCUCGCACUCAACAAACGAAAGCCAAGAAACUGCGGAGCCGUGCACUAUAAAUGCGAGUGCGAAGCAGUUUCUCUGCAGAAUAGGAGAAAAACACACUAGAGAGACACCCCGUCUGCAAACUCUCUCUUCGCUUACCUCUUCAAAGUCUAAAAUUCUCAUUGAUUUUAAUUUGCUCGAGCAGGCAUAAUGAUUAAAUUGUUCAAGGUAAAGGAAAAUCAGAGGGAAACUCAGAGUGCAGAUGGGAAGCCUCCAGUCAAGAAGCAAAGUUCUGGGGAAUUACGUCUUCAGAAAGGUAAUUCUUGGUUUGAUAUACUCGGUUAUAACAGCAUCAUGAAUGACACAAAAUUAGGCACAAUUCACACACUUUGACAAGAGUUUGAGGGAGCUGAAAAUGCAAGAACAGGACCAAAGUGCACGAUACAAUCUACUAGAUCAAGGCUGGAACUACUGAAGGAAUGUGCUUAUUUCCUCAGCCCAUUCUUCUGUCCACUAUUUUAUGGGCACUUGGUUCCAUCUUUGGCUAGAAAGAUCAAGGCUGGAACUACUGAAGGAAUGUGCUUAUUUCCUCAGCCCAUUCUUCUGUCCACUAUUUUAUGGGCACUUGGUUCCAUCUUUGGCUAGAAAGUACAGAACGGCUGCAGGAAAGUUUUCUAUAUGAGAGAUUAUACAUGAAUAUUUCUAUUUCCUCUUAAUUCAUAUCUGUAUGUUUACCCUUUGGCUUGCAGAUAUAACUGAGCUGAACCUACCGAAAUCAUGUUGCAUAUCCUUCCCCGAUGGAAAGGACAGCCUGAUGAACUUCGAGGUCACCAUUAAGCCUGGAGAAGGAUAUUACAAGUAAUUUGAAAAACCCUUACACCUGUGCUCAAAAUCUCUGGCUCAUUCCCUUACCUAUGGAAUUGCCUUUUUCUUCAAAAACUCUCUUUUUACCUUGUCAUAGGGGUGGCAAAUUUGUGUUCUCAUUUCAAGUUUCACCUCUCUAUCCUCAUGACGCGCCAUAAGGUCAAAUGCAAGACGAAGGAAUGGAUGCGAUGUCUACCAUCCUAAUAUUGAUCUGGAAGGCAAUGUGUGCCUAAAUAUUCUUCGAGAAGACUGGACACCUAUCCUAAAUAUAAACAUCAUCAUCUAUGGAUUGUUUAACC